GGAGAGAGGCAGUGUGGCCGAGAGAAGAGAUAAGGGGGGAGAGGGAGAUUUCCCUAUAUACAAAAGUUGUGAUUUUCAAAGAUCUAACGGUCCAAUCUUCAAUCCGUCUUUAAAAACGUAAUCCUAGCACUCGGAUCUACGUUUCUACCGAUCGUUUUGAGGCUUUGUGUUAUUUGGAGCUUGCAAAGAUUCUCCAAACACCGGGUAUUAUUUGAAUAAAUUUUUGGUAAUGCAUUGCAUGGUGGUGUCUAGGAGACCUAGUGCUUAAUAUCCGCGCAGCCAAGAUAUUGAUGCUUUGGUUGCAGGUUCUGCGGAUAUAGAUAUUGACUCGUUCACCUAGUGUAUGGGAUGCUAUGAUUGGAGCACAUCGCGACAGUCAUAAGUUAUGGACUCAUGGGUAGUUCGUAUUUUGGGUAUUCUAUUUUUAUGGCUCGUGUUUUACGUGGCUUAUGUAUUUAUUGAGCCCGUAUUUUAGUAUGUAAUUAGUGUAAUAUGUUUUAUAAACCUUAAAUAGAUAGACUCGUAAAUGGCUCUCGUUGUUGUAAUUAACAGUUAUGUAUUAGAUGUAUUUCCGCUUAUGAUGUGUUCCGUUGCAUAUUGAUAUUUAUAUUCCGCUGUGUUAAA
Long non-coding RNA from Alnus glutinosa, 624 nucleotides. RefSeq lists it as uncharacterized. The transcript has 4 exons. The record is from RefSeq and is a predicted model, not a curated record. NCBI's taxonomy places the organism in Eukaryota, Viridiplantae, Streptophyta, Magnoliopsida, Fagales, Betulaceae.